AUUGAACGCUGGCGGCAGGCCUAACACAUGCAAGUCGAACGAGUGGCGGACGGGUGAGUAAUGUAUGGGAACCUGCCUGAUGGAGGGGGCUAACUACUGGAAACGGUAGCUAAUAACGCAUACUAUCGGGUGAUCCCAGAUGGGAUUAGCUAGUAGGUGGGGUAAAGGCUAACCUAGGAGACGAUCCCUAGCUGGUCUGGGAGGAUGACCAGCCACACUGGAACGGAGACAGGGGCCAGACUCCUACGGGAGGCAGCAGGGGGGAAUAUUGCACAAUGGGGGCAAGCCUGAUGCAGCCAUGCCGCGGGUAUGAAGAAGGCCUUCGGGUUGGAAAGUACUUUCAGUGGGGAGGCGUUACCCGCAGAAGAAGCACCGGCUAACUCCGUGCCAGCAGCCGCGGUAAUAC
This 406-nucleotide ribosomal RNA is filed under the name uncultured bacterium. RNAcentral describes it as "partial 16S ribosomal RNA". It matches the Rfam family "Bacterial small subunit ribosomal RNA", at positions 29 to 526 of the family's 1533-position model. The record is from RNAcentral.